Molecule: ribosomal RNA, 133 nt
Filed under: uncultured bacterium
Lineage: Bacteria
Description: partial 16S ribosomal RNA
Source: RNAcentral
CGUAGUUANCCGGGACUUAUUCCUGAGGUACCGUCAUUAUCGUCCCUCAGAAAAGGAUUUUACAACCCGAAGGCCUUCAUCAUCCACGCGGCGUUGCUGCGUCAGGGUUUCCCCCAUUGCGCAAUAUUCCUCA